GCCCUUGGUGGCACAGUGGUUAAAUGCCUGUACUGCAGUCACUCACUCACAAACCACAAGUUGCUGGUUCAAUACCAGCCAGGGGCU
This 87-nucleotide transfer RNA is filed under the name Phrynosoma platyrhinos (Desert horned lizard). RNAcentral's name for it is "tRNA-OTHER". The record is from RNAcentral. Lineage: Eukaryota; Metazoa; Chordata; Lepidosauria; Squamata; Phrynosomatidae.